Molecule: ribosomal RNA, 494 nt
Filed under: uncultured bacterium
Lineage: Bacteria
Description: partial 16S ribosomal RNA
Rfam family: Bacterial small subunit ribosomal RNA
Source: RNAcentral
GACGAACGCUGGCGGCGCGCUUAACACAUGCAAGUCGAACGGAAAGGCCUGCUUUCCCUUGUGGAUUGCGGGUACUCGAGUGGCGAACGGGUGAGUAACACGUGAGUGAUCUGCCCCCAACUUGGGUAUAAGCCUGGGAAACUGGGUCUAAUUCCCGAUAGGACUGCAGGGUGGUGCCUGUGGUGGAAAACGAUGUUCUAGUGGUUGGGGAUGAGCUCGCGGCCUAUCAGCUUGGUGGUGGGGUAAUGGCCUACCAAGGCGGCGACGGGUAGCCGGCCUGAGAGCGUGGACGGCCACAUUGGGACUGAGCGCCGGCCCAGACUCCUACGGGCGGCAGCAGUGGGGAAUAUUGCACCAUGGGCGGAAGCCUGAUGCAGCGACGCCGCGUGGGGGAUGACGGCCUUCGGGUUGUAUACUCCUUUCGACCGCGAGGAAGCCACCUGGUUGGAAGGGUGGUGACGGUAGUGGUAGAAGAAGCACCGGCUAACUACGUG